AAUAAAAGAUUGAGCUGGUUCAAAAACAGCAAAAGUUCCAAAAGCAUUGAAAAAGUUUAGUUCCGUAAUGAAAGCAGAUUUAAGCUAGCAAUUCAAAAACUAUGGAACUUUCAAAAAUAGCGAAAAAGAUGAGUUUCGAAACAAAGAUAAAUUGAGCUGGUUCGGAAAUAAAAAAUAUUUCAACUAAAUACCUUAAAAUGCUUAUCAUUAGGAAACUCUGAGUAACUCUAUUUUGCUGGAAGUUGUUUCUGCUUCUUUAAGAUGAUGUUUAAAAUGUAAAACACGUUCGCAUGUCAUAAAUGAAGCAAUAAAGAAUUUUAUUUAUAGCCGUAAGAAUCGUCUGGCAUAAAUUUACUUAGAUAAGAAGGGGCAUUACAAUGCUUAUCAUUUUCGGAAAUCGAAUCUUCUCUCCACAACUGUAAAAAAGAGUUAAAUAACCAUAAUUAGAAUGCAAAAGGCUCAGCGGGAGUCAAUGCUUAUAAGCAAAAGAAGAGCACUUUAGAAGCUUCUUAGAGAUUAUUAGGCGGAAAAAGAAAUCGUAAUUCUGGUGAUUUAAAACAAAUGGUAUUGUAAAAUAGGCUGAAAAGUUUUAAGUGAGGAUGUGGACACCACAACAGAAAGCUCAAUGCGUCUCAUGGCCGUAUUCGCUCCACAUUUUCUGGACUUGUGCUGGGUCGUCCGGCUCCACUUUUAUGCAAUACUGAUCCGGUGCUCAUGAAGCUUGUGUGCCAUG
Molecule: non-coding RNA, 733 nt
Organism: Parasteatoda tepidariorum (common house spider)
Lineage: Eukaryota; Metazoa; Arthropoda; Arachnida; Araneae; Theridiidae
Source: RefSeq, a predicted model, not a curated record